AUUUAAUCCAUUUGUUGAAGCCCUAACUUCCAGUGUAUUUGGAGAUAGGGCUUUUAAGUAGGUUAUUAAGCUUAAAGAAUGUUAUAAGGGUGGAGCCCUAACCAACAGGACCGGUGUCUUUAUAAAAAGAGGAAGAAGCACCAAAUAUCUUUCUGUGUGUGUGUGUGCACACAGAGAAACACCACGCAAGAACACAGAAAGAAGUUGCUAUCUGUAAGCCAAGGAGAGAAGCCUCACCAGAAACCAACUCUGCUGGCAUCAUGAUCUUGGAAUUCCAGCAUCCAGAACUGAAGAAGGAGUCCUUCUGAGUAGCCACCACAGCUACAAACAUUCUGGGUCACACCUAAAGCCAGCACAAUUCUGAGUCUCACCCAAAGGCCACAAAAAAUAAUAUUACUGCGGUAGGAAGCAUUUAAGAUGACUCCCAAGAUUCCUGCCCUGUGCUGUGUGAACACUGCAUACACUCCUUUCCUUGUUGGGCAAGCUUCAAAAAUAAUUUUCACCAACUCGGGCCAUCAUAAGUUCAUACUGCUUUUGGAUCACCUGUUCUUAUGUGAUAGAAGUGUCUUCUCAUGGUAUGAAAGAAGCAUGGGUCCUUUCCAGGUCGAAGAAGAACUACAUGUGUGUGGAUCAGGUUAAUUCCAUAUACAAGACAAUGAAAUGCAAAAGAAAAGAUCUCCAGAAUCCUCAGUGCAGUCUUUCAGCCAGCAGACAAGAAAGAACAUCUGCCAUUUUCAAAAUAUUAUUGUUUCACAUCAGUUUUAGCUCAUGGUAGAUAUAAAAUCAAGCAUAAUCACAUGAAAAUGUUAUUGGUAAAUAUCUUGAUUUUUGCCUUAUUUUGG
Molecule: long non-coding RNA, 842 nt
Filed under: Homo sapiens (human)
Lineage: Eukaryota; Metazoa; Chordata; Mammalia; Primates; Hominidae
Description: HSALNT0078123
Source: RNAcentral